This 301-nucleotide ribosomal RNA is filed under the name uncultured bacterium. Its description in RNAcentral is "partial 16S ribosomal RNA". It matches the Rfam family "Bacterial small subunit ribosomal RNA", at positions 509 to 807 of the family's 1533-position model. The record is from RNAcentral.
CAGCAGCCGCGGUAAUACGAAGGGGGCUAGCGUUGCUCGGAAUGACUGGGCGUAAAGGGCGCGUAGGCGGCUUGCACAGUCAGAUGUGAAAUUCCUGGGCUUAACCUGGGGGCUGCAUUUGAUACGUGUGGGCUAGAGUGUGAAAGAGGGUCGUGGAAUUCCCAGUGUAGAGGUGAAAUUCGUAGAUAUUGGGAAGAACACCGGUGGCGAAGGCGGCGACCUGGUCCAUAACUGACGCUGAGGCGCGAAAGCGUGGGGAGCAAACAGGAUUAGAUACCCCAGUAGUCCCUGUCUCUUAUAC